This 1069-nucleotide long non-coding RNA is filed under the name Nicotiana benthamiana. RNAcentral's name for it is "long non-coding RNA (NBEN_LNC041864)". The record is from RNAcentral. Lineage: Eukaryota; Viridiplantae; Streptophyta; Magnoliopsida; Solanales; Solanaceae.
UAAGAAGAGUUUAAACAUCAACUGGAAUCAGUCAGUAGAGAGUAUUGUGAGGGCUUUUGAAUCAGUUAGAGAGGGCCUCCUUGGAAUCAGACUAGAAGAGCUUAUAAGAAUCUAAGAGUUUAAGUUGAAAAGCCGAAAAAAGAGAAGGUUGAAAACUUUAGAAAAUGAGUCGAACUUUGUUUGGGAUUCAAGUAUUUGGGUCAGUUUUGUUUGAACUCGGAUGGUUGAUUUUGUUAAUGCUAUUGUUGGAUCAAUUUUAGUUUUUAAAGUGGUUUUUCUCAAUCAUUUCUGGGUGGAUUUUGCUUGCUGAGCAUUGUCUCUGUUACUGCCCUGUUGCUGACCUCUCGUUUCUCUGUUUUGCUUUCAAAUUCCAGGUACAUUCUCUUGAAAUUUUGCUGAUGUAUGCGUCAUAAUGAAGAGGAAAGUAAAAGUUUGAAAUUUGGCAGCUUGAAUCUAUUUUGUUUAAGUUUCAGUUUUGUUUGUGAUGUUUAUAUACUGGGUCAGUCGAGCAUUGUGGUUUGGCCACUCUUAGUGUGAUUAGCUAAAUUUGUAUGUUGUAUGUUAAACUUUGGAACUGUUAGCAACAUGUUACGGGUAGAAUUUAGCAAAUGCAUUAGUCUUGAGAGUUUUACUGUGAACUUUAUUGGCAUGGAUAUGUGUUAAGUUAGAACACCUCUGUUAGUUUGAUAGUUACACUUUGGGUGUCAAACUUACUUGGAAUAAUGGUUCAAGAGAAAUAUGAAUUGAAAGGAGGUGUUUGUGGAUCCAUAGUGUAUUGUUUUGAUAUGUGAAUAAACUAAGCAUGUAAUCGUAUUUUAGUGACUAAUCAAAUGGCUAGAUUAUUCUAUUAUGAUCCCAGUAACUUAACGGCUUUGCAAAAAUAUAAAAUCAGUUAUUUUGCUUUCGUCAUUUGUCAAAUGAGCCAGGAGUAUUAUGUUAUUGAUCGCAUUUUAUAUUAUGGUAGCCAUGUUGUCAUAUGUGUUAGGAUUUAUGCCCGUCACUAGAAGGGGGUGAAUAGUGAGGCACGAGAAUGUCGAUAAAUUUUGCGAAAUUAAAAUUGCAGGAGUAA